AGGGAAAAGAACUAACGCAGACUGAAAACGGCUCCCCAGGCAUAGUUAUAAGUUACGAGAGUUUUGGUGCGGUUGACUACGAAGGGAGCGUCUUCGUUGACAAGAGCGACCAAGAUAACGACAUCAUUGGCUUUGUGUUUGCCUACCAAAGGAAGGGGCGAUUUUAUGCGGCGUCUUGGAGACGGGGUGAUCAAGAUGGCGGCGUUGCUGGCCUUUCCAUUCAGAAAAUUCUGUCUGAAGACAAAAGUGGAAGUAAAUUGCAAAAAGCAUUAUGGCAAACGACUACGACAGAAAAACAGGUAA
Long non-coding RNA from Corticium candelabrum, 303 nucleotides. RefSeq lists it as uncharacterized. The transcript has 3 exons. The record is from RefSeq and is a predicted model, not a curated record. Lineage: Eukaryota; Metazoa; Porifera; Homoscleromorpha; Homosclerophorida; Plakinidae.